AUGAUUUUUUCUUUAUCUUUUAUCGCAUUCUAUGGAGUCAGUCAUGUUUCUACAGCAGUCCACAAGGGACAAACCAAGCACUGGCUGUAUAUAAGGCGAAGGACUUGCAAACUGCAAGUACAUAUCCUACUAAAUCCUACCUUUAAAAGAGAGAUGCAGUGUUCACCUUGGGGCCAGUGUGCUGCACUUCAGCGUAUGCACCUUGAGCAAGGGGACAGUGGAUAUGCAGGUUUAAUUGAGGUAAUAUAGUAUUGAUUUCUGUUCCCUACACCUCUUUUUUUCCCCACAGCUGCUUGGCUUCAGGCAUUCGAGUACCUGACCAGCCAGUAACACUCACAGGCUUUAAUGCACCAGGAGCCCUGUAUCAUUGCUAAUGACCUAGCUAAUUAUCUGCACGAUAAACAUUAUCUGGUCAUUUUUCACCUUGUACAAACCUAACGGACAUUGACUCAGCCUGCUAUUGAUAUCUGAAGGUGUUAAAGGGGCAGUCUGGGAUAAAAUGCUCAAAGACUUAAAGGCAGAAUGAGUAGGAUUUGUCGGUUUUGGUUUGUAAACACAACAUUCAAAGUUGGCCCCACCUAACUGGCUCUUCAGGGAUGCAUGCUUACAAUCUGGCACCUGGUCACUCCAUUUUUAUAGAGUCCUAUGCCCACACCCUGCGCACUGUUAUUGGCUGGAGGGCAAGGCGAGGCAGGGCAUUUAUAUUUAUAAAGCAUGUGUCAAACACAAAGGUGGAUUCAAGGUUACAGUUCAAAGUUAUAACAGCACAGUUCAAUGCUAAAACCACACAGUUAAAAAACGACUUUUAAUAAUAGUAAGAUUAAAAAUAAGAUUAAAUAAAAUAAAUGUAGGUAAAAGUGCUUGAGUAUAACAAGGUUUUCAUUCUCAAUUUAAAAACCGGGUGCACCCACUAGACUCAGAAGAGUCAGGAACACAAAAUAAGAAAAUCCAGGCAGAGGUCAGGGUCUCUGCAGAAACAGAUAUUGCCACAUUAUUUUUCUAUACAUUGGUUUAACAUCCAGAGGAUGGUUGCACUCCUUCUUUCAUGUGUGUGGAUGAAAUGAUCAGGAAGUUAAUUCAUGCUUAUAAUAAUAUCAGAAAAUAACUGACCUUCAGUGUGAAAUUAGAAGUGCUGCGUGCAGCUAUUUGUCAAAUCCAAGUGAAGGACAUUUUCUCCCCAAGUCUCUUUAGUGUAUGCUGGGGUUCUGUGGUUUAAUUGACUUCUUCUUGUGAUGUUUGAUAGAGUAAAAACAGUCUCUGUGAAGGUUUUGGCUGAACAAAAUUAGUUUAAAAGCCAAUAAAAGACCAGAGUAAUGUAUAUUUAGGGUAGUUUGUCAAAUUAUUUGUGAAUCUGUAUUUUAAUUUUUUAUUAUUAUUGUUAUAUUUUUCAAUUAUUUGUGUUAUUAUUAUUUUUAUUUUUCAAUUAUUUAUAAAAAAUAAACCAUCAAAACCCAAGCACUGUACAUGCAGUAUGUACAGUAUAUGGACGGUUUUCAUGCUUUUUUUUUGUUGGAAUCUUAAAUGUUUUGUUUUGUAAAAUAAUGGCAGGGGUCAUACAGUGCAGCCCUUAGCCGCAGAAUUUUUAAUACUACUUUAUUCACAUCAUGUCCAUUGUUGCUUAUUGUGUUUCUGCUGGGUUUGAUUCUCCCACAACAGAGCUUUUCACCAGAACUCUGUUCAGCAGCCAACUCUCAUGAGUCUCACAUUUCAGAGUCUCUUACCAGCACAUGAAUGUAGCAUAGGUCAGGACACUUUUCACAUGAGUCUGCACUUGUAAAUUCCCUUCAAUAAGUUAAAUUUUGAUGACUAUAAAGAGAUUCAUUGUAAUGGCUUAUCAAGGUUAAGUAAGUUUCAAUUCAAUUAAGUGGUCAAUAUAUCAUACUAAAAUAAAUGGAAACCAACAAAAAAACACAUUCAACAAUCUACAACACUGGAAAAAUGAAUCAUAUUCUUUAGUUAGACCACAAUGUUAAAAUACUUAAUUACAAAUAAAAGUUGUACAUUCAAAACCUUUUACUUUGUAGAAUGAUCAACAGCAUGUAUUUAAAUCAUGAAAUGCAUUCUCAGUGUGUUUAAUAGCUCUCUUCAGAGUGCUAUUUUUCAUUGUAGAUUAUUAUUGGUGCAUUAGUAUGAAAGUUGCAUUUUAUUGUAGUAGCUGGUUGAGGUCAUUUCAACAUCUGUGUAUUAGGUAAUUAAUAUUAGGCUUGGAAUUUAGGUUGUAAGAUUUUAUAUAUAAAAAACAGUUGGUCUGCAAAGUAUAACUGUAGCUGUGAAAUAAAUUCAAUUCAACUCAAUUCAAUUUUAUUUGUAUAGCGCCAUUUCAUAACAGAAGUUAUCUCAGGACACUUUUCAAAUAGAGCAGGUCUAGACCGAACUCCUUAUAACAUUUACAGAGACCCAACAGUUCCCACCAUGAGCAAGCACUUGCCGACGUCAGCAAGGAAGAACUUCCUUUUAAGAGGCACACUAUGAGUAGUGACUGAUGAUGAUGAUAACAUAAGGAAGAAGAUGAUGACAACGACAACAACAACGAUUGGAGACAAUGAGCAGUGACAAUAGUAAUUACAGUAACUGUAGUAAUGAUGAUAAUAAUAAUAAUAUCAGUGAUAUUAGCAAUGGCAGUCAAGCAGGGCCAUGGCAGGAGGCUCCACCAGGAUUCAUGAGAACCUGCGAGACCGAAAGCACAAGAACUCCGGGGAAGAAGUAAAGUUAGUAACAUGCAUUAAUGGGACAUGAAUGUGUGCAGAAAGAGAGGGAGAGGAUGAGAGGAGCUCAGUGCAUCAUGGGAAAUCCCCCGAUAGUCUAGGCCUAUAGCAGCAUAACUAAGGGAUGGUUCACCUGAGUCAGCCCAAACUAUAAGCUUUAUCAAAGAGGGACGUCUUAAGCCUACUCUUAAAUGUGGAGAGGGUGUCUGCCUCCUGAACCACAACUGGAAGCUGGUUCCACAGGAGAGGAGCUUGGUAACUGAAGGCUCUGGCUCCUGUUCUACUUUUAGAGACUAAAGGAACUACAAUUAGCCCUGCAUUCAGAGAACACAGUGUUCUAGAGGGGUAAUAGGGUACUAUGAGCUCUUUAAGAUAUGAAGGGGCCUGACCAUGAAGAGCUUUGUAGGUGAGGAGGAGGGUUUUAAAUUCUAUUAUGAUAUAUACAAAGAAGCUAAUAGAGGAGAGAUAUGAUCUCUUUUCCUAGUUCCUGUCAGUCCUCGUUCUGCAGCAUUCUGAAUUAAUUGGAGCGUCUUACUGGACUUAUUGGGGCCUGAUUAUAAGUAUUUGCAGUAAUCCAGCCUAGAAGUAACAAAUGCAUGG
Long non-coding RNA from Dicentrarchus labrax (European seabass), 3305 nucleotides. The record is from Ensembl. NCBI's taxonomy places the organism in Eukaryota, Metazoa, Chordata, Actinopteri, Moronidae.